Molecule: unclassified non-coding RNA, 606 nt
Filed under: Hevea brasiliensis (rubber tree)
Lineage: Eukaryota; Viridiplantae; Streptophyta; Magnoliopsida; Malpighiales; Euphorbiaceae
Source: RNAcentral
UUUUAUCUCCCCGGAAGGAAGAGGAUUGCAAAACAGGAAGUGAACUUUUUCAAGAUGUUGAAGUUUUUGAGAUGAAUUUUGAACGCUCCACACCUGAAAGUAUAAGUGCCACAAGGCGGUCCAAGACACAAAAUUCAGUUCCUACAAAUCAAUGUGCAAGAUUUGGUAGAAGUCUUAGUGGACUGUCUGUAAAAAGGUCCUUAGUCGGUUCAUUCGAGGAGUCACUAUUAUCUGGUCGUUUGACAUCCAGUGUAGUCAGCCAGAGAAUUGAUGGUUUUCUUGCCGUCCUUAGUAUCACUGGUGGAAAUUUCUCGCCACAUCCUCAGAAACUUCCAUUUGCUGUAACUAGCGUAAAUGGUGAUAACUUCUUGCUUUAUUACUCAUCAAUAGAUCUUGGAAGACCAUGUAGUGAUGGUAAAGGCUCACAAAUCAGGAACUCUAGCACUAAUAAUUUACAUACAAACAAGGGCCGCCUACGUAUACCCAUAAAAGGGCGCAUACAACUGGUAUUCUGCUUGUAUCCUCUUAGCUUGCUUGUACAUCUGUGAACAUGCUUAUGUUGGAAAUUUCCUUAUUCUUAAGGAGUCUAAUUUUCAUAUAAACGAG